UCAAAACUAACUACGGUUCCUAACACUAAUUUUAAAACCAAAAUUCUAAACUCUAAUUUAUUAAUUUUUUUAGUCACUAUUAACUAUUUGCAAAUAAUUUAAUUAGGGCUAUCCCACUUCUGACACCAAAAUGUUAAGAAUCGCGGGUUCGUAAAGGAUAGCCCAAAUAAAGAUUUUAUUACACACACAGUUUUAUUUAUUGCCGCUAUUUACAUUACUAGUAAAUAAUCUAAAAAUGGCAAUUAAUCAAUUGCACUUAAUAAUGUUGCUUCCCAGUCACUAAUUUUUACACACCGCACACCUCGCUGGGCCGUACCUCUGGCGCAACUCUCGCCGCACCUUCCUCAAGGACCUUAGUCGCAGGACUCCGUCGCCGCACUCCGCCGCUGACGCCGCCGUCGUCGCACUUGCCUUCGCAGAUGAUCUGCUUGACGCCUCGCUCGGAACUUCACUCAGUGCUCCGCUGUGCCCACGACACUAUCACCCGGAACUGAACUCUCUGCCCUAGAAUCUUCUUCCAGGGACUUUGCAACGUGGUGUGAACGAAGAAAAUUACAAAACGCCAAACAAUUCACACCAAGUUAUACAAUGCGCUCAUAUGAGUAAAGGAGCAUAUAAAUUCACCCUUUCUAUUAAGGGUACCUAGCAGAGCGUGUCUUGUAAAAACAAUAUUUCUGAUUACUAUAAAUUUUAAGAACAAGAAUAAUACGUUUGAUCGAAUUGAGUUCUUUUGAUAAUUUUUUUUUCUAUGAACGUUCACACAUUAAAUACAAAAUACAUGCCGGUCCACAAGGACACGAAAAGAGGACAAUAAUUAAGAUCAAAUAAUUUCUUCACCAACAUGUGCUCCAAUAAGGCAGCAGCCAAAGUUCAUUUAGUAUGUAACAAACUAUGUGCAUAUGAAGAACCCAUACAUGAUACAGGACAGAAAUUUAAGUUUACUUUAGAAAUUGUACGAGCAUUUAACAAAAUAUUACAUAGAGCACCAACGUGCUCCACGCGGAGCUACAACAAGCAAGUUACAAAAGAAAAUAUGUAAAAAUUUAAUAUUUAAAGAAUUGUAACAUGUAGACUAGUAUCAGGGCCGGCAUGGCCGUUUACAGGUUCCUACGAACCACGAGCUCUCCAUACGUAACAAGUGCACGGCCCGAGGGAGCACUUACCCUAGACGUGGCGAGAAACAGACAGGAAAGACAACAGCAAAGCAAAGUCACUCAGGCAGGCAACUCGUGACACCGGCACUUAUGGUGCUUAAAAAAUAAGGUACAACGACAUCAGGAGACAACAGGCAGAAAGGGACGGCAAUGCAAACCGCGAAUAGGUGAACCAUCGAGGUCCCAGCAGCCAUACUAAGACAAACGCUGGGAUCCUCGGAGCAAACUGUAACUACUUUACCACACGGCCAUCUCGUGCGAGCAAACAAAAAAUCAAACCACAGCAGUUUCUCCCUCGGCACCGUCACUGCCUAACAAACUAACUGAUAACAUGCUUAUCACAGCUCAAAGUAUGCUAAGCUGAGGCCGAGGCACAGCUGACAGCUGCUUAUAAAGCCUUGCAUAGAGCGCGCUGCGGUCGGAGCAUCGGUGGGGAAGAUGAAAAAAGAAGGAGGGGGGAAACAAACAUACGAGGCGGCGGGCCGCUUCAACACCCACCCCUAAAAGGGCCCCUGCCCGGAGAGAAAGCAUACAGAGGUGGUAUCUUGAUAUGCGAAACGAUUAUUGAAGAUGAAGAUCGAUGUAUCUUGAUGCUCGGCGAGGGUCUCCCAGUGAAACGAAGUACGUUGUUGACGGCGAGACUCUGUGGCAGUUGCAAGAAAAUCAGAGCCCCUGUUGGGGCAACGAUCGGCUGGACGCUGAUGUUGCGCGGGAGUCGGAAACACAAGGGGCACCAGUCGCCAAACUACAGUCAUUCACUAUAACAAAGAACAGUUUUUAGACAAGCCGGACGAGUGCACCUCCGAGACCAUGGGGUGAGACGGGAGGGGUACACAGUCAGCAGAGAGUCCCCAGUAGAAGGGGCAAGGGGCUAGCUUCUCAACCGCAGGAACUCCAGCGGGUGUCGCCAUUCCACACGGCCCUGACAGCGGAGAAGACACCACACGCGCGGAGGCUGCCAAACUCAGCGGCUAGGCAGCGGGCACGGAGAUCCGGAGGCACUGCAGAGCGCCGUCACGUAGCUCACGUGGUAAGUGUCCAGAAGCGAGCUGCCACUCACGCGAACUGGUAGAUGCCCUCCUCACAUCUUGUAAACUCGAUUCCACAGAGCGUCUCUUCCAGGAUGACAUCAAUCCUAGGAGACGGCUCCGGCGGAAGAUUAGAGAAACAGGUGCGACGAAGUUAGCGUAACUCACAGUACUGGCAGGCGGAAGCGGGCUCUCUCUCUCGGACGGGUCGCACAGAGGGGCGGAUGCGACAGAGACGGCGCGGAGACGUCUCUCCACGCGGCGCUGAAGAUGCGGCGAGCGGUGCGUAGACGAUGCGGUGAAGACAGUCGCGCACAGCGAAGGGAGGGGUCGGGAUGGAAAGCGCCACUGUAGACAAUAAGACAGCAGGCAGCAUACCACAAGAACAAGAAUAAACACACCCACACGAGAAUUAAUAUAGGCCUCAAAAAAAACAACACAAUAUUAGGUUAUAUAGGUAUGCAAAUAUAUAAAAUAUGGAAAUGUCAAAACUACAAGACAACGCAACAAGAUCAUUAUAAACAGUAACUAUAAUAAACAACUAUAACAAGAGGUUUAGCUAACAUAUUUUUUAAGCUGGGAAACGUGUCCCUUAACAAACUUACGUUUGUUAGCUACUAACUGCAAUAGCGCCGUGUUGGGGGCGAGAAAUCGGCUUAUUACAUAAGGCCCUUUGUAUGGCGCGAUAUGUUUAACAUUUAUCCUUGCUGUCAGAGAUGGCAGGGUAAAGUUUCUACACAGGACCUGGUCGCCGACCUCGAACGAGUGAGCUUUUCUAUGCUUAUCAUAGUUAGAAGCCACAUCGCGUCUCGCGUUUGUGAGAUUACAUUCUACUCUAUCCAAAAUUCGGUCCAACUCGGGACCACUAAGGCUUGAGUCCAGCGACGGUAUGCCCCACUGAUUCAGAAGAGGAUGGCUAAGUUCCCUCCUUAGGAAAGGUACAGAAGGGGGGGGACCCCGUGGCGGAAUGGUGGGCGGAGUUCAAAGCCAUGUUUACAUACUCAUUUUCCGAGUCCCACAAAGUUUGAUCAGCGCGAUUGUACGCCUUAAGGAUACUCUUCAGUACUUUAUUUACUCUCUCAGACAUAUUUCCCUGGGGGAAUUAGGCGGUGCUGUACACAGGUUUAAUCGCCCACUCAAAACAGAAUUCACGAUAGACAUCUGAUUGAAAAUACCUGGCAUUGUCCGACACUAUGAUGCAAGGUGGACCAAAUACUUUGAACACCUGUUCUCUGAGAACCUUUACAAUGGAAAUAGAUUUCAUGUUUUUUAAGGGGGCCAAAAUCACAAACUUAGUAAAUAUGUCCAAAAUUACCAAAAUACACACAUUACCUUUCUUUGAUCGUGUUAAGGGUCCAAAGAUGUCUACGUGGAGAACAUGCCACGGCGCCACAGGCGGAUCAGCGCAAUAAAACCCCAUCCUAGAGUUGUGCGGGGGCUUGGAGAUUUGGCAGUCGUGACAAGCACGGACAAAUUCACGCACGUCCUUGCGCAUCUCAGGCCAAAACAAGUGAAGAGCGAUUUUGCGGAAAGUCUUCUUUAUACCUAAAUGUCCGCCGGCAAGCGAGGCAUGAAAAUAAGUGAGCACCAUAUUUUUAAGUUUAGCCGGGACUACCAUCUUCCGGGCACGGCCGGUACUACCCACAAAAAUAGAUAAGUCCCUGGUUGUCCAAAUAUUCAACGGACUUGCCUUCACGCAAAUCCUUGCGGAUUUGAACACACAAGGCAUCAUCGCGCUGACACUCUUUGAUAUUAAUGAAGGAUUCAGGAAAAACCUUCAGAACGGCAACUAACUCAGAAAUAGGCGGGGUUUCAAAGUCGGGGAAUUCAAAUUCUUCCGGGUUGUACAUCCUGGAUAGUGUGUCUGCUACAAUAUUUUACGUGCCUUUCACGUGGUGGAUGACGAAGCGAAACCGGGAGAGUCUGAGAAUCCAACGGCUAAUUUCCCAAGCUGGUGGGGAUGGUUAAACAACCAGCUCAGAGCCCUAUUAUCGGUGUACAAAUCGAACUCCUUGCAGUCUAGGUAACUUUCAAAUUUCUCCAGGCCGAACAGACAUGCUAAGGCCUCUUUCUCGUAAAUUCCUCUGCGGCGCUCUGCCUCUAGCAAAGUUCGGCUAGCGAAAGCUAUGGGACUUAAUUUUCCGUCUUCGAAAUGGCCUAUGACAGCCCCUAGAGCUAUAGACGAGACGUCAACCUGGACAGCAAAACGUUUGUCGAAAUCAGGUAGAAUUAAAACGGGAGGGAAGCCAGCCGUUUCUUAAGGACUGAAAAAGCCUUUUCCUGCUCGUCGCCCCAAACGAAUAGCACAUUCUUUUUUCGCAGGUGGUUGAGGGGGGCACAGACUGCGGCAAAGUCGGGAAUGAACCUAGAAUAAUAACCUAGUAAGCCGAGGAAGCGUUGCACGCCCUUCAGAUUUUUAGGGCGCGAGAAAUCAACAACUGGGGAAAUUUUGUCCGGAUCCAUCAACAACUGUCCAUGGCCGAUGACAUAGCCGAGAAAUUUGACAAAAUCCUUGGCCAGGGUAAUUUUGUUUGGAUUAACAGUUAAACCUGCUGCUCUCAGGCGGCUGAAUACUUCAGUCAGAUGAACUAAGUGUUCGUCAAACGAGUCACUGUAGACAAUGAUAUCGUCAACAUAGUUAAAGACGAAUUUAAAUUUAAGGUCACUGAGUACAUGGUCCAACACGUGACUCAAUGCCUGGCUGCCAAAACUAACCCCCAUAGGGAUUCUAUUGAAGUGGUAGUGGCCAAAGGGAGUAGAGAAAGCAGUGUAUUUUCGGCAUGCCGGGUCCAGUAAACAUUGGUGGAAACUCUGGUUCAAAUCUAUCACUGAAAAAAUAUUAGCCUUGCCGAGAUGCUGUAAAGCACUCUCUACUGUAGGGAUCGGAAAUAUGUCAUCUAUAAUCUUUUGGUUCAUAGGCUUGUAAUUAUGUACGAGCCUUCAAUCAGUACUAUUUCUCUUAGCCACUAAGAAGGUAGGCGUGGAAAAAUCCGAAGUUGAGGGAGAAAUUACGUCAGCAGCCAAAAGAUUCUGAAUAAUCUGGCGCAUAGCCUGCAUCUUAGGUGGAGAUAAUUUAAUAUAUUUACUAUGUACGGGUACCUCAUCCUUGACGUAGAAACAGUAAGGCAAGAUGUCACACUUACCCAGAUUACGGGUAAUGACGUCAGAAAAAGAUUUCACCAGGUCAUCAAUCGCUCGUUCGUGCUCGCUAGACGCCGAGGCGUCACAGGCGGCGACAAUAGGAGCGCGGGACUCAUGCCGCAACAAAAUUUUCACCAGGGGUGCAGAGCCAAAAGACAGUUCAUGCCUCGAGGCAUCCAAUACACGAACGGGCUUUACUUAAAAAAUCAAGCCCGAAAAUCAAAUUAGGAGAAAAAUCGGGCACGACCACGAAGGGCCAGUUCCACGAAAACCCAUGAAUUUUAAAAUGCAAAACAAUAAUUUUGUGUGACUUCACACAAUGCCCAGUGGCGACAACAAUAUUUAUGUCGGAAUCCUCUACGAGGCGCUGCUUCAAAAAAGGGUAUUUCAGAAAUAGGCUAGCCAAGCAAUCCUCGCUAAUGGCAGAAUGAGAUGCGCCAGUAUCAACCAGUGCCGGAUAAAAAUACUCCCGUAUGCCUAUAGACAAAAAAUGUAAAAACGUGGGCGGAGAGGCUUUACGAAGCGUACGACGGAGACAACCUCUCUUACGUCCCAUCAGCGGCCGUUUCCCGUUACCGGGCAGUCGGCACGAUAGUGACCGGCGCGCCUGCACCGGAAACACUUCCUCUCAUUGACAUCCACGCGGGGGCUCACACAAUCCCCGGCCACGUGACCGAACGCGCAGCAGUUAGAACAUCUGCCACUCCUACGGCUCGUGUCUACGCACGGCCGGCCUUCAGGGUCAUACAAGGUCAAGGGCGGCGCGCUUGGGGGCGGAGUUACAUAACUCACUCGGCGAUUCAUGCCACUGCGCCCCGGACACCGCGACUGGGUCAAGGGCACAGAUGGCGCACAAGAGGGCGCACUUACACCAGCUGCGUUAUAUCUCGCGUCAGUACGCGUUUGACCUGCAGCACCGACCGGGCGUGGCGCACGCAAGGGCUCAGCUAGACUAGCCGAACUGUCAUUCCAAGACGAGCGAACACCAGGCUGUCUAGCGCAUGGCUCGCUUACAUCAGACACUCCAACGUGCGCAAACCUCACGUCGCCAUGCGCCGCAACACGCGGGCGUGUCCCAGCCCGCAAUGCCGGCCCUGCAGAGCGUGGCUCAUGUCACAAAGGCGGAUGUUUCGUUAGAAAACUCCGAGUGAUAUUUAGAAAUAGCACCUAAACGGCUUUGCACUUCACCGCCCCAGGCUCUCAAGCUGUCAAGGGUAGUGGGCGGCGUAAGCAUGGCACAAUGCUGCCAUACCAGAGGGGAAAAAUUACCCAAGACGAGCUGUACAAAUUCUGCCUCUGGCGUGUCAAGGUCAAGGGCCUCCGCGUAAACGGUGACAGACGUCACAAAUUGCGCAAUGGUUUCCUGCGGGCGUUGGAACCGGAAGACGAGCUCCCGUUUACACGUGUCAAACACUUUGGAAGGCAAACAGAUUGCACUAAGGAUUUCUUAAAAUCCGGGAAUUUUACUCCAUAAAGACAGGCCUCAGUAAGCAAGGGCACGUAAGUGCCAGAGCACUUGCUGAGCAGUGCUUUCAUAAAAGCGUCUGAGGGAACUAGAUUUAAUUUAUAUAAACGUUCGGCCUCUAUUAUGAAAUCUAAAACAUCCGUGGGGUCACUCCCACCCAAGACAGCAAGUGGUUUUAGGGCUGGAAAAAAAAGCUCUAAGUUAAACGAAGAGGAAACGGACGGACUCACGUCAGUGGGAAGAGACCGUGGCUGGUCCUCAGGCGCCGCCUCAGACACUUCCCGCACGUACUUGACCAGAUGGGCCCGCAAUGCCAUCACGGUAUCGGUAGGUGAAACAGGAAGCCCAUUCUCCUCAAGGUGGGCGAUCAGCUUCACCGGCGAAAUCAUGGCGAUGAUACCAAGAACAAACAAAAAAACACACAAUGCUCUGCUAGAGAGCAGAGUAGCGCAGAGUUGCAACGUGGAGUGAUCGAAGAAAAUUACAAAACGCCAAACAAUUCACACCAAGUUACACAAUGCGCUCAUAUGAGUAAAGGAGCAUAUAAAUUCACCCUUUCUAUUAAGGGUACCUAGCAGAGCGUUUCUUGUAAAAACAAUAUUUCUGAUUACUAUAAAUUUUAAGAACAAGAAUAAUACGUUUGAUCGAAUUGAGUUCUAUUAAUAAUAUAUAUUUUUUUCUAUGAACGUUCACACAUUAAAUACAAAAUACAUGCCGGUCCACAAGGACACGAAAAGAGGACAAUAAUUAAGUUCAGAUAAUUUCUUCACCAACAUAUGCUCCAAUAAGGCAGCAGCCAAAGUUCAUUUAGUAUGUAACAAACUAUGUGCAUAUGAAGCACCCAUACAUGAUACAGGACAGAAAUUUAGGUUUACUUUAGAAAUUAUACGAGCAUUUAACAAAAUAUUACAUAGAGCAACAACGUGCUCCGUGCGGAGCUACAACAAGCAAGUUACAAAAGAAAAUAUGUAAAAAUUUAAUAUUUAGAGAAUUGUAACAUCUAGACUAGUAUCAGGGCCGGCAUGGCCGUUUACAGGUUCCUACGAACCACGAGCUCUCCAUACGUAACAAGUGCACGGCCCGAGGGAGCACUUACCCUAGACGUGGCGAGAAACAGACAGGAAAGACAACAGCAAAGCAAAGUCACUCAGGCAGGCAACUCGUGACACCGGCACUUAUGGUGCUUAAAAAAUAAGGUACGACGACAUCAGGAGACGAUAGGCGUGAACGGACGGCAAUGCUAACCGCGACAUGAAAGAGUGAAAAAGAACCUGGAAUAGGUGAACCAUAGAGGUCCCAGCAGCCAUACUAAGACAAACCUGCAUGAUGGCAAACAAUUACCUUACUUUAAACGCUGGGAUCCUCGGAGCAAACUGUAACUACUUUACCAUACGGCCAUCUCGUGCGAGCAAACAAAAAAUCAAACCACAGCAGUCUCUCCCUCGGUGCCGUCACUGCCUAACAAACUAACUGAUCACGUGCUUAUCACAGCUCAAAGUAUGCUAAGCCGAGGCUGAGGCACAGCCGACGGCUGCUUAUAAAGCCUCGUAUAGAGCGCGCUGCGGUCGGAGCAUCGGUGGGGAAGCUGAAAAAAGGAGGGGGGAAACAAACUCACAAGAAAAAGAUUAGAGAGGAGAGAGGGGUGGGAAGGCUGUGACGUAGCGACAUACGAGGCGGUGGGCCGCUUCAACUUGACCGUUCUAUUGCCUGGAAACUCCGCCGCGGGAAAAGUCCCGACUGAACUCAAACGACUCUCUAGGCCGGCGUCCUCGUCUUAUAUAUCACAGACACCAUUUCUAUAACUCACGAGUGCGGCUGGGGCCUGUUGUAUCAUUCCGCGCCGACCAAACGCAAGAAAUCUCUCGUUACAUGUGUCGGCGGCUCGCGUAACUCCGCAGCUGUUAGGUUUCAGAUGUCAAACUAUCAGCGCCACACGGUGAGCGGUGGUAAAGAGGGGGGAAGCGGCGACCCAGGUUCGCACGGCACAUCUCAUGUUAAGGUGGCAUGUGAUGUCAGCCCAAGCUAGUUCUGCACAUGCGCAUGACGUGGCCUUCCUCACGUUCGUAACAGUAGGCUCAUCUGUUGAGUCCCCUGGUCCUACAGUAGCCAACACUGGUGAGUCUUGUGGUCUUAGAGUAGCCACCACUGGUGUUCUGUGGUACUACAGUAGCCAACAGUGUUGAGUCCCCUGGUCCUACAGAAGUCAACACUGGUGGGUCUGUGGUCAUAGAGUAGCCACUACAGGCGAGUCUUGUGGUCUUACAAUAGCCACCACUGUUUAGUCUUGUGGUCUUACAGAUGCCAACACUUGUAAGUUUUGUGGUCUUACAGUAGCCACCACUGGUGAGUCCUGUGGUCCUACAGUAGCCAAUACUGGUGAGUCUUGUGGUCCUACAUUGAAAUGGUGUUAUUGUUUAGUUCAUAUUUCAUCUACAAUUGCAGCAAAAUAUUUGAUGGCCUUGUGCUGUAUGCUACAUGGUUGGGGCGUGCCAUUAUGCUUGCGGAUUUGCAUGUCUAGUAUGUGAAGAGGAGAAGACGUGUUGGCUUUUACAAAGUUUGCGGGAGUGACAUGUUUCAUACCGGAGUUUUUUGUGGGAGCUAAUGAAAAAUAGGUUUAAAUAUAUGAAUGUUUGGUUUAUACCUGUUUGGUCCUGUGCAUAAAAAAAAAGUGUUUAGAUUUGUAUUUGGUUUUUAAGCAUGCUGCUGCCAUUUUAGAUUUGGAUCGGCUUUGAGAGUAUCGCCGACUUUUUAAGAUAAGCUAGAUUACCUGGAAAGUGGUGGCACGGUAAAAUACUGGUAAUUUUCUAUUUUACAGUAUGACUAUAAAAUUACUACACUAGUCCUUCUAUUAGCACAACUAUUGUGUUCCCAAAAAAAUGUUCGUAUUACUUGAAAUCACAUAUUCUGAACCAUUAGUUUCCAUAAAUAUGAGGCUAUUUUAUUUAAUGUUCCAAAAAAUUGUGUAGGAAAAUAUACUUUACGUAAUAUGAAUGCGUAGAAUAACAGUAAAUGAUAAAUAUGUCACACCACAUAUCUUUAUAUCUCGUCCAUCAAACUUUUUAUGACAUUACCAGCUUAAUGGGAGAUACGUGGUUAUUUACUUUAUCGUCAGUCGGCUGGCUGACUUGCCGGCCCAGGUUUGACCUUCAACUCAAGUCGCGUACCUUUCCAAACCAUUCUUUACUAACAGUGAAACUGAUAUUACUGUCUGGAUAAUUACAUUUUCAUUUUUCAAAAAUUAAUAUUUUUAUUUUCAUAUCACUACCUGAUUCACACCAAUCCUGUCAUGCCAAUGAUUAUUUUUUUCAGUGCAACAUUCAUUUAACAACCUUUUCCAUGUGAAUCAUCUGUUCAUUUCUGUUACGGUAUCUAAGGUAGAUGUACCAGUAGUCGUCAUGCUAAGAAGUUUUUUAUAAAAAAAAAAAUUGUGUACAUAACCUUGUAGGUGUAUUACUGCCCCUACAUGUUUGUUUUUAACCUCAAACUUUACUCUACAAUGCUAUCCAACACUCUUCGAUAAACACAAAUUAUUUUUGUAGAUUUAUUAUUUUGAAAAAAGUGUGAUUUCGAGCCAGUAGUCGUCAUGCGAAUUUUCGUGUUUGCCAGUGUUCGUCACAUGUUUGUGCCAGUAGUCGUCAUGUGCGAUUUCGGCUGCAUUAGUUUUAAUUCAUGGAUCCAGAAUGAUAGUAUUGUACUAUUUGGGCUUCAAAUUUUAUUUGGUACUAUAUUUUAAACAUCAAAAUGGCAUUUCAUAAAGAUCAUUCAGUAAUAUAAUGAAUAAUCCUCAUUAAAUUUUGAAUUUACUUACAGCACUCACGGAACAAAGAGGGACAGCACAUAGAGCUGUAGCAAACCGAAUGUAUUCGUUACUGAGUAACCGGUGUGCCGUCUAGUAACGAGUAACAAAACGUUACACACGGCUGCAUUUUGUUACUCGCAUUUCUCGUAUAUUUUACGCAUGCGCGCGCAUAUUCAAUGAAUUUACGAUACAAAGAACGAUGUUUGUUUAUUAAUAAAGUAUAAUUUGGAAAUUCCUCGUCUAAGUUUUUUUACUGUUUAUUAAAGGUAUUAUGUGUGUAGACAAAGUUUGAGAUUGGAACAGAAACAACGUAACAAAGUAUUUUUUUACAAAUUAGAAAUAUGUAUGUUUUUGUUUUUCACUAUCGCGUAUUUUCACGUUUUUUUUGUUCUUAUCUUAAAAGAGAUAUAAUAAAGCCGCUCUAAUGAGAUUUAAUUGUUUCUUGGUUAACAAAAACUGUUUAAUUAUCAAAUAUUGUUAAUUGUUUAUAUUCUAUUUAUUAUUAUUUACGCGACGUCAUACUGUACGCGUACGCAAUACGACUCAAUUCGUUGCUGCAACAUAACAUAGCAGGUUAUGCGGUAUCAAAAGUAAAAUAUAAAAAUGAAUCAGGGCCCGCCCAUCUUCCUACCCAAGGGCGAUUUGCCUUUGUGUUUAUCGGACAAUGUGUUCCUUGGCACACUAUUUUUUUCCGCUGCUCAUUUUAUACUCAUACCAUUCGCUACAUCUUUAAGAGCAGCUUCCAUGGCUGACUCUUCAUACAACAGUAUUUUCCGUUUUGGCAUUUUGCCUUGUAAUUAAAGAACGAGACACAUUACAAUGUUUAGUUUACUUAUUAAUGUCAAAAUAUAUAUCGAAUGACCCCUAAAUUAAUGUAAACAACAAUGCCUACACAAUUUUUGCAAUCAAUAAAGUAAAGUAAUUUCCGACCCAGAAGUCGUCAUACACAUGCAUCGGAAGUCGUCAUAGGUGACGACUACUGGAUCUGAUCGUAAUAACGUACUUUGUCUAUUAACAACAAAGAACCAAUAUUAUUUAAGAACUUUAGGGUGUAACUUAGCACAACUUUAAAUAAAAUAUUAAAUGUACCAGUGCUCGUCAGGUAUGACGAACACUAGCAAUACAAGGUUUUUAUUGAUCCAGUUUUCGUCACCCUAACUAAAUCAUACAAAGAAAACGAAUUUUUUUAAAUAAACACUUUCACCUCUUCAAGAACAUUUAACUAACACAUUCAGCACAAAACAUCACGAAUAAACAUGUAAAAUUACAGAAUUAGAAGUAAAAAUGUUCACUAACGUCCUUAGUGUUUUAGUAUAGGAAUUCCCCUAUUUAUCUUCACUGCUCUACGAACUUUUGAUGCAUGGGCUUUUUUUGAUUGAAAAUAGUGUUUGUUCCGAAAACUAUUGUGGUAAUUUCAGCUAGAACGUCGACCAAAUUUUUGUCAAUAUUUAAGUUGGCGAUAUAUUGAGCUACUUCACUAUUAUUUACAUUGGAAGUUGCUAGUGACGACCAUUGGAGCAGUGACGAGUACCGGGGCACUUACCUUAAUGUCAUAUAUAUUCUCGCUAGUACAACCAUCAGUAACUUUUAUAAACUUUUGAUAUAGUCCUUAUUUUGUACGAUGGCUUUUGUUUGUGUGAAUUCCCUGCCACUGGCUAGACUGAGUUCACAGCUCAGUUUGUGGCCAGGCGACAACGGCACGGCAUGGCGGCAUACACGUGGACAAAUAAACAUUUGGUCCUUUACACUCCAUAGUUGCAAAUUAAGUUGCCAUAGCCGAUGUUUAUACAACAUAGCGAUAUACCGAUAGCGUAGUCAUUCCUGCGCGCACAUUUAUUUUCCCCUUGUAUGGCUAACUGUAUGCCACGGCACAUCUGUUGUUUACAGAAGUUAAAACAGACUUUAUGGCUUCAUGCCCGACUUUUUUCUACCUGUGGGGAUUUUGCUCUAACUGAAAUUUACAGACGUGCUAUUUAAGACUGGAGCAGUAGAAUUAACAUUGUGCUAAAUAAAUUCAUGCAAUCUGAAGAUGUGCUAAGUGAGGGAUUGGUGUAUUUAUGGUUGCUGGUGAAUCUCUAUUGGGCAGCUGACUUUUUAAGCAGUUAUUGGUCAGUGUACAUUAGUUAUGAAGUAGUUUAAGGACAGUUAAAGUGAACAGUAUAUAUUUUUGGUUAUAACUAUGUUUUAUUUUAAUGAGGCACACGGAUGAUCCAUCGGGUAUGUAUUGGAUUAAAUCCUGCUGGGACAAGAAACAUUAUACAUAUACAGGGUGUCCGGCGACCGGAAAAACCUGGAAAACCUGAAAAAGUCAGGGAAUUUUGGUGGUCAGGGAAAAGUCAGGGAAAAGUCAGGGAAAAAUGUGAAUGUUCUGGAAAUGACCAAAACCACCAACCACUCGCUUAUCAUGAAGGUUAUUCUCAAAGUUUUACAGAAUAAACUAUUUAGUUUUACUAUUUUACAACUCAAAUCAUAUUUAAACUAAUGUUUUCCUUUACGUAUCUGGACUUGCGACAUACAAGCGUGCUGCUUUCAUGAAGUCUAUAAAUACCUACCGUAUGUAUGACAUGCAUACCGUAUUUUGAUGAUAAUACCGCACACAAUGUUAGGAAGGGGGCAGAUAAUACCAUAGUUUGUAAACUUGUAAGCUACUGUUCAUAGUUAGUCUGCCUAAUAUAUUGCUACUGUACCAUAUUUUUGGUUACAACAUACAAUACUUUUGGCGUUCUCGAGUGUAUCCGAAGGUUACCGAAGCUGACCGAACCGACCACCGGCGCCAUUACUGCAGUUUCCUCUGUUUGUUUACACGUUUCGUCAGUUCUCUCAGAUUGCCAAAUAUAAUUUUCUUUGAAAGAUACGAAUAUUAUUUUGGAAAUUUCUGUACUCUAAUCAUAGCCAAAAUACUUACGAAUUUUAGUGCUGUGAUCUUAGGAAGUUAUAAAAUGUAGCAUAUUUCUUUACACUGUAGCGAUGUGCAUACAAACUUACGCUUUGUUUAUUGUGAAUCUUUCGCGGUCUUUCUGCUAGAUUUUACUGGAGCUGCGACUAGGCCUCUACAAUUUCGGUGAAUAAUGUCUAAAUUCAAGAAAACAUCGUUCAAUCCGACAUGGUUACUUGACCCAGCAUUUAGUUGUAAAUUAUGCAAGACUGUCGUUUCCCUCAGUAAUAUGGGCAAACAAGCUCUUUCAAGCCACAUAAAAGGCCAAAAACACCAACGUGCAAAUAAUGCAGUGAAUUCUUCCAAGUCUGUUGGUAUUUUUUUCAAAUCGGUUACUGCUAUGUCUAAAGCUACCACAAGCAAAUUCGGUGGACAAGUUGCUGAUGGACAAGCCUCUAAUGAACAACUUAAUUCGUCAGGUAACGUCAAAUCAUCUCAAAGCUCUUUGUCACACAAUAGUGAUUUGCCUAGCAGAUCCCGGUCUGUGAGUUCUCGAGGUGUUGAACAAUAUUUCAGGAAAGACAGUGUUACAAAAUCAGAAAUUUUGUGGUGUUUGAAUGCCAUUAUCCAGCAUUCUUCUCUUAGGUCUGCUGCCAAUAGUGUAUCUUUAUUCAAAAUAAUGUUUCCAGAUAGUGAAAUAGCUGCAGGAAUGCAAUUACAGGAAACCAAAUUAGCAUACACAAUUGUGUCAGGCCUUGCUCCUUACUUUCAAAAGGAAAUGUUAAAUAAUGUUGUUGACUGUCAUCAUAUUGUUGUUGCUUUUGAUGAAAGUUUAAACAAAGUUGCUCAAAUGCAACAAAUGGAUAUUUACGUCAGAUUCUGGGACAAGGAAAAGGAAGCUGUUACUACAUGAUAUUACAACUCUGCAUUUCUGGGUCACACAACUGCAAAUGAUUUGUUACUUUCAUUUAAGAAAUCUCUGGAAGAUAUCAAUCUGAAAAAUGUUGUACAAAUUUCCAUGCAUGGCCCCAAUGUCAACAAAAAAUUGUUGCUAGAUUUUAAGAAGCAGAUGGCAGAAGAUAACCAAGAUGCUGGCAUUUUGCUGGAUAUUGGCAGUUGUGGACUGCACACCCUCCACUGUGCUUUUAAAGGUGGCGUGAAAAGUGCAAGCUGGAAAGUUGUCAAAUUUUUAAGAGCUUUGCAUAACUUGUGGCACCAUGUACCUGCCAGGAGAGCUGAUUUUAUAUCCAUUACAGGCUCUUCAUUGUUUCCUCUCAAGUUCUGCUCGAUUCGUUGGCUUGAGAAUGCUGAGGUGGCAGACAGAGCUUUGAAAAUAUUUCCAAGUGUACAGAAGUAUGUUGCGCACGUUUCUGUUACAAAAAAAGUACCAACAUGUAAUAGUUUUCAAAUAAUUGCAGAAUCUGUUAAAGACAAGGCAUUGACAGUGAAAUUUGCAUUUUUUAAGUCUGUUUCUUUAGAACUUGAACCAUUUUUAAGGGAAUUUCAGUCAGAUGCUCCUUUAGCUCCAUUCCUGUACAGCAGUAUUUCAUCACUUGUAAAAAACUUGAUGGGAAAGAUAGUGAAGCCAGAUGUUUUAAAAAAUUCACCCUGCCUCACAAUUGAUGUAACUAAAAAGGAAAAUCUUAUGUCUCCAAAAUUAGUGAAACUUGGUUAUGAGACAAGAAUUGCUCUCUCGCAGGCAAAAUUGUCAGAGCGAGAAAUACUGGAGUUCAAAAAUGAGUGUCGUACAUUUUUGCAAACUAUGAUUUCAGAAAUAAUGUUGCGUUCUCCUCUUCACUUCAAGUUGACCAAAGCUAUUUCAUGCUUCGACCCUCUGGUAGCUACGCAAGCAGUAGUUGCCCAGAAGCGUUUGUCAGAUGCCUUAGAAAUAUACUGCAAAAACCAAUGGAUAUCUGGUAAUUUAGCUGACAAAGUACACAGGGAGUACAAAGACCUCUGUGCUUUGGAAUGUGUACAGUAUAAACUGGCCUCUUAUAGAAGAAAUUCUAUGACACUGGACAAGUUUUGGAUGGAGCUACUGGCAUUUGGUAGUUUCGAGCAUUUGACACAAUUCCUUAAACUGGUGCUGAUAUUAUCUCACGGAAAUGCCUCAUUAGAGAGAGGCUUUUCAGUCAACAAAGAGUGCCUCGUUGAAAAUAUGAGAAAUGAGUCUCUGGUUGCACAGCGUAGGAUUUUUGAUGCAGUGAUUGCUGCAGGUGGUUUGGACAAAGUGGAAAUAUCAAAACAGAUGAUCCAUGCUGCACAAAAUGCUUAUGCCUGUUACAAAGAUACUACAGAGAAGAAAAGGAAAGAUCAGGAAGAAGAAGUAAACAGAAAACAAGAGAAACGAAGACAAGUUGUAGCUUUAGCUGAAUUGGAAGCUCAGAAGCAAUCAAUUCUUGAACAUGCUGCCAAGGAAGCAGCCCUAAUAGAUAAGAAGAUGCUGAGUCUCAAGAACUGAAAAUAUUCUUAUCAUUAAGGGCAAGAAUUAAAAUAAUAUAUAAUGUUAAGUGCAUAAACUAUUUUUUGUCUCUGUAUAUUUUGAUAGAGGCCUAUGUUAGGAUUAUGCAGUAUUGAUAUGAUGGACUUGACUAUGCUUAUUCAUGAAGUGCAAGCUGAAACAUUAUUUGAAGUGCUACGUUUUUUUAUACAUAGUCUGGUCCAGUAAAACAAACUUUUUAGAAGAUUUCACAGCCUGGAAUAUAUACUGGUAAGUUUAUGGUCAAUAUUUUUUAAGAUCAUACCUUUUUUUAGGGCUGUGAUGUCAUUUACAAUUUUUCUGGAAAAAUUUUCAUUUUUGUCUGGAAAACCUGGAAAAGUCCGGGAAUUUUUCUAUCCUGGUUUGCUGGACACCCUGAUAUAACACUGAACAAAUAGUUGGGAAAGCUGGAUGUGUCAUAAAAUAAUUUUGUUGUUUACAUUAAAUUUUUGGGGAAAAUUUAAUUGUGGAUAUUUGUGCUAUGAACACAUUGAUUCUCAUGACAAUAAUUGUGAAUUUAACUUUUUUCUCGACAAACCAUAUUUUGAAUUAUAUGACAUAUCUAUUGUUUCCUUACAACUUUCAUUCUUUCUGAAAACUAAUACACUGUGGAUGUUUGCAAGUAAUGCGUCCAUUUAUGUUCCUUUUUUAUGUCGAACAACAACAAAGUCAUUUUUACAGUUCAUCAUACUCAUAAUUGGUAGUUGUUUCAUCAGUAACACCUCACAUUGUGAUAUUGUAUGCCCUUUUUUUUUUUUUAAUUUUUUCUUCUGUUAGUUCAUCCGUAACUUUAAAUCUAACUCUACCUACCAUACAUGUUCCUUAAUUUAAUUUUAAUUUAAGUCAAUUUACAUUUUUCAAUUCUCUAAUUUGACCUUGAAUAACUCCAUUGUUAAGGAUAUCAGUAAUCUUUUAGUAUCGCAACCCAGAGGUGUGCUUCUUUCCAUGAUGUUAUUAAUCUUUUACGACUUCACCAGCAUGUUGAAUCCAGUUUUUAUCUUAACAUUGUUGCCAUAUCCUUAUCCUCUCUUGUUUUCUUUGUAUUCCUUACUCUCAGCCUUGCCCUUGUGCAGGUCACCCUCUCUGGUAUCUCUACCAAAGAGACUCUUUGUCAGUGGCCAGGCAUUCAGUCAGCCAUUGAACAAGUUGCUCCGAUGCCGCCGUGCGGGUAUCGCUGGUGUCAAUCGCCGCUGCAGCAGUAGUUGAACGGAAUGAACCUCACAACUGUGUGGGUUGCCAUGGCAACACUUCAUCCAGCUGCAUUGGACACAGUUCCCAAG
Bacillus rossius redtenbacheri is the source of this 17221-nucleotide RNA transcript. It is a transcript of the gene named oocyte zinc finger protein XlCOF6-like, with no coding region annotated. The record is from RefSeq and is a predicted model, not a curated record. The transcript has 2 exons. Lineage: Eukaryota; Metazoa; Arthropoda; Insecta; Phasmatodea; Bacillidae.